RNAcentral lists this unclassified non-coding RNA (240 nucleotides) under soil metagenome. RNAcentral describes it as "partial contains 5.8S ribosomal RNA, internal transcribed spacer 2, and large subunit ribosomal RNA". The record is from RNAcentral.
AACGCACGAGACCUGCGGACCUGCGGAAGGAUCAUUAAUGAGAAGCUGCCCCUCGUGGGUAGACCUCCCACCCUCUGUGAACUUACCUUUGUUGCUUUGGCAGGCCCGUCCUCUGGACCGCCGGCUUCGGCUGGCCCGUGCCUGCCAGAGGAUUCCAAACCCUGUCUGUCAGUGUCGUCUGAGUCUAUAUGAAAUCGUUAAAACUUUUAACAAUGGAUCUCUAGAUCGGAAGAGCACACG